RNAcentral lists this ribosomal RNA (254 nucleotides) under uncultured bacterium. RNAcentral describes it as "partial 16S ribosomal RNA". It matches the Rfam family "Bacterial small subunit ribosomal RNA", at positions 523 to 776 of the family's 1533-position model. The record is from RNAcentral.
AUACGGAGGGUGCAAGCGUUGUUCGGAAUCAUUGGGCGUAAAGCGCGUGUAGGCGGUUUCCUAAGUCUGGUGUGAAAGCCCGGGGCUCAACCCCGGAAGUGCAUCGGAUACUGGGUAACUAGAGGGCAGAAGAGGGAAGCGGAAUUCCUGGUGUAGGGGUGAAAUCCGUAGAUAUCAGGAGGAACACCGGUGGCGAAGGCGGCUUCCUGGUCUGCAUCUGACGCUGAGACGCGAAAGCGUGGGGAGCAAACAGA